RNAcentral lists this ribosomal RNA (791 nucleotides) under uncultured bacterium. RNAcentral describes it as "bacterial SSU rRNA". It matches the Rfam family "Bacterial small subunit ribosomal RNA", at positions 8 to 796 of the family's 1533-position model. The record is from RNAcentral.
AGAGUUUGAUCAUGGCUCAGAUUGAACGCUGGCGGCAUGCCUUACACAUGCAAGUCGAACGGCAGCGCGGGGGUAACCCUGGCGGCGAGUGGCGAACGGGUGAGUAAUACAUCGGAACGUGUCCUGGAGUGGGGGAUAGCUCGGCGAAAGCCGGAUUAAUACCGCAUACGCUCUGUGGAGGAAAGCGGGGGAUCUUCGGACCUCGCGCUCAAGGGGCGGCCGAUGGCGGAUUAGCUAGUUGGUGGGGUAAAGGCCUACCAAGGCGACGAUCCGUAGCUGGUCUGAGAGGACGACCAGCCACACUGGGACUGAGACACGGCCCAGACUCCUACGGGAGGCAGCAGUGGGGAAUUUUGGACAAUGGGGGAAACCCUGAUCCAGCAAUGCCGCGUGUGUGAAGAAGGCCUUCGGGUUGUAAAGCACUUUUGUUCGGGAAGAAAUCCUUCGGGCUAAUACCUUGAGGGGAUGACGGUACCGGAAGAAUAAGCACCGGCUAACUACGUGCCAGCAGCCGCGGUAAUACGUAGGGUGCGAGCGUUAAUCGGAAUUACUGGGCGUAAAGCGUGCGCAGGCGGUCCGCUAAGACCGAUGUGAAAUCCCCGGGCUUAACCUGGGAACUGCAUUGGUGACUGGCGGGCUAGAGUAUGGCAGAGGGGGGUAGAAUUCCACGUAGCAGUGAAAUGCGUAGAGAUGUGGAGGAAUACCGAUGGCGAAGGCAGCCCCCUGGGCCAAUACUGACGCUCAUGCACGAAAGCGUGGGGAGCAAACAGGAUUAGAUACCCUUGUAGUCC